CGGCGGACGGGUGAGUAAUGCCUAGGAAUCUGCCUGGUAGUGGGGGACAACGUUUCGAAAGGAACGCUAAUACCGCAUACGUCCUACGGGAGAAAGCAGGGGACCUUCGGGCCUUGCGCUAUAAGAUGAGCCUAGGUCGGAUUAGCUAGUUGGUGAGGUAAUGGCUCACCAAGGCGACGAUCCGUAACUGGUCUGAGAGGAUGAUCAGUCACACUGGAACUGAGACACGGUCCAGACUCCUACGGGAGGCAGCAGCA
This 257-nucleotide ribosomal RNA is filed under the name uncultured Pseudomonas sp. RNAcentral's name for it is "partial 16S ribosomal RNA". It matches the Rfam family "Bacterial small subunit ribosomal RNA", at positions 96 to 355 of the family's 1533-position model. The record is from RNAcentral. Lineage: Bacteria; Pseudomonadati; Pseudomonadota; Gammaproteobacteria; Pseudomonadales; Pseudomonadaceae.